AGUAAACUCAAAUAACGGUAUGUAGCUAGCUAGUUAAUCAUUUUUAUUGAUUUGAUAACUAAAAUAGUUUAUCAAAAGAUAGGUAUUUUCUCACCUGAAGCUUUCAGCGAACAUGUACUGUUUACUUCCGCUAACGAAGUUAACCGAGAACGGCUAACGUUACGUUAGCUUUAUUGAACUACCAAGGCGGGAAUGUCGCUAAAACAAUGAUGUGCUUGUUUUUCCUCUUUUUUCAACAUACAGCGGUUCGUAAACUUUUCUGUUUUAAACGCAUGUAUCGUUUUGCUUUGGGCAAUUUUCCAAGCAUAAUCGCUAGUCAAAUGUAAAGCACCAGGGCCCAGUGUGCAGGCUAGCUUGCUGGCUAUAGCCACCUCUAUGAAUUAUAUAUUGAAGGAUGCUCUAGCAAAGGCGGUGGAGUGGGUGGUAACGUUACCCCCCUCCCCGCCAACCCAAGGCCAUAUAAAACAGGGAUUGCUGUGUUUGGGAACAACUUCACGUGCGGUAAGUCGCUAUUAGGAUGCAUUCCGUUCUUCUGCCAGAUGCCCCUUAUGUGGCGGUCUGACGAAGUCGGCUCCAAACAAAAAUGACGUAAUAAACACGUGGAGUAAUAGGUAAAAUCGGUGCAUUCAAGAAGCCUCUGAUACAGAUGGUCUUUGUUCCGCAAGUCCCCGCUAGACCUUGGCCCCAGCAGAUGUCAACACCACAAGCCAUUUUAAGAAGCCACCAGACACACCAGGGAGAAAUGUGGAGGGUGUGGACAUCCUUUGCCAAGGAUGGACGCCUUCCUUUUCUCUCCUCCUCUGUCAUGAUAAUCGGAGGCCUCCUUCCACAGUUUUAACCCUUAAGUGAACAUUUACUUUUAAAUAUAAGAAAACAUUAACUAAACAUUUUACUGUUUAGAAUGAAAAGAUAUGUCCAGUGUGGGGCUCAAAUUCUUAUUUCAGUAAUAUUCAAAUUCAAGAAC
Long non-coding RNA from Esox lucius (northern pike), 964 nucleotides. The record is from Ensembl. NCBI's taxonomy places the organism in Eukaryota, Metazoa, Chordata, Actinopteri, Esociformes, Esocidae.